Molecule: ribosomal RNA, 433 nt
Filed under: uncultured bacterium
Lineage: Bacteria
Description: partial 16S ribosomal RNA
Rfam family: Bacterial small subunit ribosomal RNA
Source: RNAcentral
AACGAACGCUGGCGGCAUGCCUAACACAUGCAAGUCGAACGAGACCUUCGGGUCUAGUGGCGCACGGGUGCGUAACGCGUGGGAACCUUCCCUUAGGUUCGGAAUAACUCCCCGAAAGGGGUGCUAAUACCGGAUAAUGUCUUCGGACCAAAGAUUUAUCGCCUUUGGAUGGGCCCGCGUUGGAUUAGCUAGUUGGUAGGGUAAAAGCCUACCAAGGCGACGAUCCAUAGCUGGUCUGAGAGGAUGAUCAGCCACACUGGGACUGAGACACGUCCCAGACUCCUACGGGAGGCAGCAGUGGGGAAUAUUGGACAAUGGGCGAAAGCCUGAUCCAGCAAUGCCGCGUGAGUGAUGAAGGCCUUAGGGUUGUAAAGCUCUUUUACCCGGGAUGAUAAUGACAGUACCGGGAGAAUAAGCUCCGGCUAACUCCGUG